AACCCCUGUGACAUACCAAUCGUUGCCUCGGCGGGAGAGCCCCGGGCGUUGGCGAAAGCCUCGCACCGGUAUCAGGCGCCCGCCGGAGGACCCAAACAAACUCUUGAAUUCUAAAGUAUCUUCUGAGUAAUAUAAGUUAAAUAAAUUAAAACUUUCAACAACGGAUCUCUUGGUUCUGGCAUCGAUGAAGAACGCAGCGAAAUGCGAUAAGUAAUGUGAAUUGCAGAAUUCAGUGAAUCAUCGAAUCUUUGAACGCACAUUGCGCCCGCCAAUAUUCUGGCGGGCAUGCCUGUUCGAGCGUCAUUUCAACCCUCAAGCCCAGCUUGGUGUUGGGGAUCGGCACAGGCGCCCUCGGGCGCCCGCCGUCCCCUAAAUCUAGUGGCGGUCCCGCUGCAGCCUCCUCUGCGUAGUAGUUUUCUCCUCGCAAGGGCAGCUCGGUGGCGACCUCGCCGUAAAACCCCCAACUUCUGAAAGGUUGACCUCGAAUCAGGUAGGAAUACCCGCUGAACUUAAGCAUAUCAAUAAGCCGGAGGAA
This 535-nucleotide ribosomal RNA is filed under the name uncultured Volutella. Its description in RNAcentral is "eukaryotic LSU rRNA". The stretch from base 150 to 303 matches the Rfam family "5.8S ribosomal RNA". Lineage: Eukaryota; Fungi; Ascomycota; Sordariomycetes; Hypocreales; Nectriaceae. The record is from RNAcentral.